Long non-coding RNA from Gallus gallus (chicken), 10583 nucleotides. RefSeq lists it as uncharacterized. The transcript is spliced from 13 exons. NCBI's taxonomy places the organism in Eukaryota, Metazoa, Chordata, Aves, Galliformes, Phasianidae. The record is from RefSeq and is a predicted model, not a curated record.
CAGUGAGAACAUGGAAACUGUAGUUCUGAUCUAUUAGCUCACAGUUAGACAAACUCUGUAUAGCCAGUGUUGAUCUACCAUAUGUUGUCUUUCCUAUCAAUUUAUACCACCUCUUGAUCUGAUCAUUAACUUCUUUAUUUCUAAGCCUGGAUAUUUCUAGUAGAAAUAUGUUGACAUGAAAUACUAAGAAACACUUUGUCUACUUAACAAAGCACAGUUAUACAGUCAGCUCAGAACUAGCAAUGAAAGGCAUUUUUCCUCAAGCACAGUCUUUAGCGUGUCCAAGCUUCAGAGGACAUCUUUUUCAACCCUCAUCUGCUGUCAUCCUGCACAUUGCACAAAAACUGUUUCCUAUGUCACAGGUAGUACUUGGGGAUGACCACUCUGCCUUUGUUAAGAGCCUACUGGAAACUGCAUUAGGAUGAUGGCUCAAACUAAUAUUCCUCAUGAUACAGCUUAUUACCCUGGGCUCAGUGCUGUGCACGGUAGCUACAGAGCUUUUGCUCUGCAUGCUGGAAAUCCCUGGAAGGACUUUGUUACCUCUUCUGCCACAGGGCUCUACCCAGUGUGUUAUAAUCUGCCACUAAUGGUACUGUGGUUGAUAUUGAUGGGCAAAUCUCUGAUCAACAGCAAAGCAUCCACUUACAUCAAUGGUUUUUCCAAGUCUUACAUUGCAGCCGACUCUGUGUGUCUUUAAUGCAAAAGGCAAUCCUGUAGUUACUCAAGAAACCAAUUGCAGAUUGAAGAAAAUAUAUGUUGAUUUUUUUUUUGUUUUCUUUUAAAAAAAAACAAAAACAAAUGAUGAAGUCAAAUAAUUGUGGUUAAAAUGCCUUCCCCCCCACGCCCCCUAUAACUCUUUCUUGAGCCUUGCUGAACCAUUUUGUUGCAGCCUGAGGUAGACAGUAAGCUUGGAAUAUUUUAGUCAGUUAAAAUAUUGGCAAAAAAACUGAAAGUGCUAGGCAGUUUUAACUGUAGAUGUCACUACCAGCUCUCCCUUGCAAAAUGCUUGGCUACACAGGUAUUUUGGCUACACAGGCAGGACACAGCAUAGUGAAAGAGAUUUUUCCUCUGAAACUUUCAUUUUUUGCAGUAUAUUUUUCACAACAUGGUUCGCUUUCCACAUCUGUAAAUACCAUCCUGUUCCAGACCAUUCAUGAUUCUGAUCAUUUAUGUCAGCUAUGAUACAUUUGUGCUGUAGACAGAUACCAUGCCAAAUGCUUUGAUAUUAAAAAAAAAAAAACAACAAAAAAACCCAACAACUGAGGUUGCCUUAUUAAGCAUUGGUUUGCUUGACAAACAAGAUCUCUUCCAGUAUCUUAGCCCUGAUUCAUUAUGAAAUAAAAUCAUCUCUGAUAAUUAGCUUCUUCCUAGGCUUUUCAGGAAGCUAGACACACUCAGAGACACGUGAAUAGGAAUAAGUGGGAACAUAAGGAAUGUUUCUCCUCUGCCUACAACAAAAUAUUAAUGACAAGCAAUGCAAUUAUUGUUUUUGAGGUCUUUCAUAUUAAAUUGAGUGAAUAUUACUGCUCAAAAGUAUGAUAGGAAUCUAUUCAGAAUACUAAAUAGUCUCCUCAUUGUAUUGCAACAUAUUUGUCUUCAGUCUUGGACUCCAAAUCUAUUAAAUACAGCAGGACAGAAACGUGUGUCUAGAGAAGAGUUCUCUAGAAGCUGGAUAAUGCAGCAGAGACAAAGGCAGAGCUUUCAUGAUAAUCAACCGUAAGACAUCUGUGCUAACUCAGAACUUCUCUAAGUAUGAAUGAAAAAUGCAAGGAUUUAUUUAAGAUUUUCCAGACUGAAGGGAGAGUUAAACCCUAAAAGAGGACAAAAUAGCCCAACCUGUGAAUUCUUCUGGUUGAUUUUUUAGCUUAGCAGUUGCCUGUUCCUUGUUUUCAGUACCAUUAAAAGUUAUUCAACACCCAAUAUCCUAGUAUCUCCAUGCUUGUGAUUGGUUGAUCAUAAAAUGUAUGGAUAGGAAAUUUACCUCCAUUAAGCAGGAAAAUUGAAGACAUUCACUAAGAGCAUUAGCGGCAAGUACUUGCAGCAGCUAUGCAAUUGGCACAGUGAAGAAUAGAGAAACUUCAGUCUGUUCUUUUUCAAGAUUUUAUCAUGGAUUAUAUGACAUUCUACUUGCAAUAGAAGGUCCCUUCCAGGCCUAUGUAAAAUUAUCCAGAAUCUUCUUUACAUUUUCUUUUAAAUUUUCCAGAAAAAGUGCCUAAACUAAUAACAUUACCGUGUAUUUCUCUCCUGUUAGCAUACCUUCCUGUUCUUCCUUUUCUAGGGCUUAGGUUUUUUUCUCUUUCUCAGAACUUCCCUGAGAAAUUGUGGCAUGAUAUCAUUGGUCUUGCUAAAGUGCAGUUAGCCUUGAUGUCACCUGUGUCAUUUAUGCAGUCUAAGUUUAAGUGCUUGUAGAGUACAUAGUUGCUUUCCAUACUGCACCAACAUCAGAGAUGUCCCUUGAAAGUGACACUGUGUGUGUUCGGACUGUGACUCUGGAUGGCAAAGAAAGAUCACAUCAGCAAACUGAAUAGCCUUGGUAUUUUAAUUCUGCUGUUGCUUGACACAUUUUUCCUCUGGUACCACUGCAGAAGUUAGUGACAUCAAAAGGACUUGACUGUUUUUCUCCAUGGAGGUGUGUAAGCCCACUGGGAGUCAGCCAAAUGUAUUUUGUAUGACAGCAAGCAUGAGUUGUUCACCUUGCUUGACAGUCAGUGACAAAACACAAAGCUGUCAGCUGGCAAAGAGGGACAGUGGAAAGGACAGUGCAGGGCACCUGUAUGCCAGAGAGGCCUGAAUAUGUUAAUGCCACCCACUGCUGUGCCAUCUGCAGGUUAUUACUUGAUAGUGACUUGAUGGACAGUGACUUAUUAAAAAGAAGUCCCACCAUAUCCACUGCACAGGCUUAAGCACAGCUCCUGCUGUGCUGUUAUUUAUCUCUUCACCUGAUAAUCAGCAGUUGUUUUUAAUUUAUUUACUGGCAGUGACACAUGGCAGGAGUCCACAACUGCAGAAGACAGCAGCUGGUUGAGCCCCAGAGGAACCACUUUUAACAAGAAAUAGACAACAAACUACACUUUGACUUUACAAGAGAAGCCCUAUGGAAGUGGAUUUGUGGACAAGAGCAGGAGAGGAAACUACAUUUGCAGUAAAUAAAAGCAUCAUUCGCAGAUGUCCUAGCGGUGACCUUGGAAUUUGGAAAUACACAUCUCCUGGACAGCCAUUUCGUUUCCUUGAUCGUACUCUUCCUUGCUGUGAGUAAUGCAGUGAAUUAUGAAUGAAAAAUAAUCAGAACGCCCUGGCUCAAUUCUCCAGGCAAAAUGCACUCCAGAUUUCUGCUGGGAAGGCAAAGGAGUAAGCACUGCUCAGCUGUCCUGGAGCCACCCACAGACUCAGUUUCUCCAUGGCACUCAGCAUGCCAGAGGGACUGCAGGAGAUGGUGACUUGAGGUGAGGCUGAUAGGUUUGAGGAGCCCUGGGACAAUUUCUAAAAGUAAUUUACCUGCCUCUGCCACGUAAAAGAAUGGCUCAAAGAAAGUAGUUGGGAAAUGCAGUUUGUUGGGAAGCCGUCAACAACUAAAUCCAGGACUCGGAAAGCAGAGUUAACAUUGCUACUUGUGUAGAGCUCAUUAAAGAGCACUGAAGAGUUGAAGUAUUUUCUUUCUCUACCAGGGACUAUAAACAAGUGCAUAAAGGAACAUGCCACCGGAGUAAUGUCUGGGCUUAAUUCAAGGACAAUAUAGCUAAAUGUGAAACAAAGCUGUACCGGUAGCCGAGGUCUUAUCUCAAAAGAUGCUGAAGCACUGUAUCAUUAAAGAAAACCUAAGGCAAUCAGUAACAGAGACGGCACAGGAAACAUGUGUUGCACUAGGUAAAUGAUAGCCUGUGUCAUCUUUACACUGAGUGGAAAUCUUAUAUUAAUGAUUCCUGUCCUCAGGCAAGGACAUCUCUGUUUCAGUGCACACCCAUCACUGCCUUUACAAAUAAUGGUUAAUUUUCAGACCAUGAUAGACAUGAGUGACACCAACUCCAGGACUUUCUGUCUGUUAGCUCCACCGUAAACUCUCUCUCUCUCAAAUAAAGUUCCCCUAGUCCCUCACACAAGGUCUAACACACCAAGCUAAUCCUCCCAUCCUGUUAAGGUCUCAAUGCUACUCCUGAGCUCAUGGGCAGUUGCUCAGUAGUUUUAUUUUUGACUGAUUCAUUACUGUCACCCCUGGCUUCCCAUGUCAACAGGUUACAUGAUCCAGAUACUCCAGAAAUUACCCCACAACAGCAAUGAAAAAAUCAGCAUUGCACCAGAAGCACUUUAUAACUUAAGGAGCCUAGAAACCGUGUACUGCGUUAUUUUCCCUUAUUCAUAUGUUUCCUGUUUAACAUCCCCUACCUAACUGCUGUCUUCCAAGUUUCAGCCCUGUGUCUCUUCCUAUCAGAGCACAAUUGAUUUGCGAUGCUUUCCCGAGCGUACGAGUCCCCAUAUGAAAGAGUCCUUUAACAUCUGCUGUCUCAAGGCAUUAGAUUGUAACCUUAGGGCCUUCAUCAAUCUGUGUCUCCACCUUUAUUAACUGCAACUUCAAUUAAACCGAUGGGACUGGGAAGAAACUUGGGACCAGGCCUUCUAGAUUUGAACACUUUCAUAAUGAAACUCUUAUCUUCUUUCUGCAUAAUAAAGCUACAUCUAUUCUAAGAGCUAAUUAAAAAAUAAAUGUUAGAGUGAUGAGAUGUAUAUCAGUGGUGCCCAGAUCACAUGUGUACUACAUGCACAGAUGCGUGUACUAUACCUCUGCUGAAAUGUUUGAGCUGGAGAAAUUCCUUACAACAAAAGCCAAAACAGGUGAUGUUUCCUACUGACAGUUGUAUUGUUGUUGGUAAUUUCAGAUCUCUUGUACAUUCUUUGAAGAGAGAGCUUGUUCUGAUUUCUGUGGGAGGACUUUCUUCACAGUAAUGUUGUUUCCUAUUUCUUAGCAGUGGAGCAGCUUAUUCUCAUGCAAAGACCCACUCUGUACCUUUGGCAUCCUUGUGCUACUCAAUGGAAAAAGAAGAGAGUGAUUCUAUGAUUUAGUCUGCCACCUCCUUUUACUGAGAUAGCCUGCUCUGCCCUCCUGCUCCGUCCAAAUUCUCAAGGCUGUUCUGAGUUCUGAACACAUACUACGGUGUGUUUCUUAAGACAAAAAAGAAAAGAACUUCGGUGAUUAAUGCAAAGGAAGGACAGCAACACAUAUAACCCGAAGAACAGCUGACUAAGAAGAUUCUGCCACAGGAUCAUUUACAAGUGCAAGUUUCUUUAGCUGGCUGUUCUGACAUUCCUCUGCUACAUCUGUCAACUUCUGAAUAAGCUAAAAAAAGAAUUCCAAGAGAGAGAAACAUGCAUUUUCAGCUGAACAUCACACAUGCACCUAAGUUUCCUCAAAAGUCUGUGAUAAAAGAAGAAAGACACUGAGAACAGGCUCUGCUCUAAAAUCAGAAAGAAUCUCUCAUCUGCAAGUCAGAUUUUACAUGGAACAAAUAUUAAAUCCAGCAGAGCUCCGAGCACAGGUAACCAUGUCUACACACCCACACUGGAGCUGCUCCUGCUGGGUAACACUAAAAUGGCUCCCAUACAACCGACGAUAAACAGAGCACCAUUUGGGAGUGUCAGCUCCGAGCUAUGAUCCAUGGGAAUGGAUUUGUGAGAAGGCUUUGCUGAGCAACUGCCAGGCAUAUCACUCCUAUGACCUGCUUUUUGGAUGGCAGGACAGAGCAGACAAAUCACUUCACACAACAGCAAUGAGCUAAUCCCGCCUUCUUUAGGGUUGUACAUUGAAAAAAAAAGUGGCAGAGCAAAACGGGAACAUCAUCCAAAAGCUGCAGUAAAUUGAGGCUUAUGUAACAAGAGGAAAUGCCAUGCAUAGCACACACAGAGGAAAGUGCUCUAUGGACUCCUGACUACAGGAGGAAACUUACAUCCCAGUGGGGAAUAAGCCUCAGAAAGGCAACAUACUUGAGCAAAGAAAAAAGCUCCUGUCUUCAAAUUGCAACAAAGCCCUGUAACAGAUCUCAGAUACAGAAAACCUAGGAAAGCAGCUUUCUGAAAGUCAAGGAUACUCCACAAAUUCCACAGGAGACUUGCAAUAUUCUAGCAAGGAACUUCUCACGUGUUCCACGUGAAAGAAACUUCCCUAGCUGAAACCAGCCACCCCAGCACGCUGUACUGCUGUACCUUGAAAGAUAUUUCAGUUGUCAUAGUGAAGCCGUGCGUAAUGACCGGCUCUUCUUCAGCUGUUCGCCCUUUCCAGCAGUCCAGCUCCACACAGCGGCAGCCUGACAGAAGCACUUGCCGAUACAUCUCCACCGAAGAGUUCCCGGCCAGCUGUCCAGCUGAGACAACAUAACAAGGACAUGAAAAAAGAGAGUCAUUUUAGGCCUCGGGAAUAAAUACAAAUAAUCUAAUGAUAAUUAGAGUUAACAGCAUCUUUUACCCUUGGCUGACAGGAAUAACACUCAAAGGCGUACAAAAUACAUAAUGAUUUAAUGGAAAUGAUUUGGGCAGAGUCAAUGUCAUGGUUCGCAUUCUGCCAUAAGUUAAACCGUUGUGAGUGAGUAGAAAUAACUUUAUCAAAGCCAAUUCAUAAACUUCUGUUAGAAUCAACGUGAACUAACUUGUAUCAGUUGUAAGGAUUUUGUUACCCUAUAACAAACAAUGUGAAAUUCGGAGACAACUCAGGACAGCAGGUUUUCAAAUAUUACGCAGAUAAAAUCAACCUCCUGCACAGUAUCAUAUCAUAAUGAUAUCAUUACUAGGUCUCAAAUCUGUAUUUUAACACUAACCACUGCAUUGAGUUGGUCAGUAAAAUUUCCUGAUGUGAUACUAUACUGUGUAGGAAGAAGUUGAAUUACACUACCCAUUUCCAACAAUGACAUAAUAUAAAUCUCAAAAUAAACAAGGAAAACUUAGUUCUUCCCAAAUGCAGGAAGUAUUAAAUGCUAAACAAACAAGUCCAGUUGCUGUGCUCAGGGUAGGAUCUACAGCCACUGUGUUCUCUGCUGUUUCAACAGGCUGGGCUCCAGUUGGAUGGAUACAAAUUUCUUUAAGCACAGAGAGAAAGAUAACGGAAUUCCAGCCUAGUGCUUGCUUUCCAUGUUAAGAAAAUGGAUGCAGCUUCCUUCUUUCUAGCAGAUGCGUCAAGUAGGUUUUCAUGGAUCCUUUGGAGGGAAUUUACUUGCAUUCUAAGGAGGCAAUGAGUUCAUUUAUGCUAAAGAUUCUUCAUGGAUAGGAGUUACACAAAAAGUUUUAUCCAGACAGGCAUAUAACACAGUACAGAUGAAUCCUGGUUUUAUUGUCUCUUUGGCUCUAUGUUUAGAUUUUAUGCUGAAAACUAUGUUUCAGUUUGCUUCACCAAAACAGCACUGUCUGUUUACUCUCUGUUUUUACAUCCCACUAUAAAGAGUAACAGAAAAUCUCUUAUUGCUGGCAAGUUCUUGUUUACUGUGUGUGUCUGAUGCAUGAACUGAAACAAUCAAAAACACUCAAAACAUAUUAACACCACUUCUAUCGAAACCCCUAACCCUGCUGGAACCACCAGGAAAUACAUGUUAAUAACAUAAUUUGGCUAGUGUUGGAAGGUUCUGAAAAUCUAAACGGAGUCAGAAAAGUGAUGAUGUGUCUCUUUUUCCCUUCACUUUUUUGUGUGCUACCCCUUUGAUUAUAGCAGGUUAUCUUUACUCACACAAUAACCGUCUUGGUGCUAUCUCAGUAUCUGUGGUAACCAGCGGCUCUUUGUCUUUACAGGGUACAAACAAGCAGUAGCACAGAUCAGGGUACAACAGCACACAUUUCUGUGUAUUCAUACCUAAGGAACUGACAUAAAAUGGGUCCUCUGAGCUCUGCUGCCUGAAAAAGCGCAUUCACUUAGAAAACUUGUUUUCAUGUUCGCUUCCCUUGGUCUCAAAACAUUUUGAUUUGCAUUUUGAUUAACAAAUUAUUUUAUGAUUAACAAGCUACUAUAUCUGCUGAGAGAUGACCGGUCAUUAUUGCUAAGUGUUUUGGAAUACAAGAUCCAUAACCUUCAAAAGUGCUUAAGUAAAUCAUGAUAUGCAUCAUUUGCCAUCUAACACUUUUCCAUGCUGCCUUGUUAAUAAGGCUCAACCCUUUUGGAAGGAUUCCUGCUAAGGGCAAGAGGAUGUUUAACCUCCAAAACAUUCAAUCUUAAGACUCCCAGUCCGAGCACAAAAUGAUAGCAAGGGUUUCAAUACUCUCAGUAGCUUAUUUUUCCAAAUUUAGACUAUUAGAGAUGCUUGCUCAAUUUUUUUAACCAAUAUUAUUUAUAAACUUCUGUCAUGUCAUCUGCAUCUAUUCUGAAGUGUGCUAACACAGACUCUAAGGGGAAUAGCUGCAGAAUGAUAUUUUUAAUAUCCUGAGUACAGAUCAAAUUUGUAAUACUGGAAAUUGAAAACAUUAUGUAUCCCCUUCUAUAAUUCAUACAGAAUCUGCAAUAGCACCACAAUAUUUUUACCACCUCAUUUCUCAAGUAGAAACAGAUUUUGACAAAAAUCAGCUUUUCUAAUAACAUGCGGCCAAAUCAUAACUGACACGAAAAAGGACGCUAAGGCUAAUGAGCCUGUACUCAUGUGAGCAAGCUGAGAACAUGACCCACGUUUUCCCACACACACCAGUUCCACAUUUCCAUAGCUUGAAGUGAGUUGUUUCUCAGCAAACGCAUCUUUGUUGGGUUUAUUCACUGCUGUUUUUCUAAGUGCAAAACAUUAGCAAUGCAUGAACUUAAAAUUUAAUUAUGAUCUUAAGAUAUUUAUCUUCCCUAAAGUUAGUCCUAGGUGUUUUCUCCCAGCAUAAAAUUUUUCUCCCAGCAUAAAAAAGCAGCUGCAUACUCCCUUUGCCCUACAUAAACGUGAUGCUAGAUCUCAUCUUUUCAGGGAAGUCCUGGAAAAGCAACCUCUGCUCUUGAUCUACAUUGCAGCUUUCAAUAUGCAAAUUCAGACCCCCGUACUACUGGGAGGCUGACUUUUGACUCUAGCAGUAACAGAAGGUGCUGUUUUUCAGGUUUUCUAGACACAGUGCAUCUGUCUGAAUUUAUGCUCCUCUCAAGCUAUUUCACCACACGCAGGAUUGCUGAAUUACAUCCCAUGCAUGGCAAUUCUGCUACUGUUAGUCUAAACAAUGCCCUUGCCCUGCACUUGUUAAUUUUCAUGCUUUACACUAGACCAAGGUAGAAUACGUGGCUAGCUUGGUCCAGCCAGCAGCAGGAAUACACUUGUUGUGUGUACCAAUUCAGGUCCAGCUGAGCAGGAGAUGCAACUCUUGCAUACGCCAGGGCUGGGGCUAGUUAGCCUCCGAGUCUGCAUUUGUGCUUAGCUGUCAGUAGUGCUUGGGCAGCUGCACUGCUGCAGUCAGGCUAUGUGACAGAACAGGCACUGGUUGUAUGGGCUCCUGGCAGUGGGACCUACUAGACCUUGAAUCCUUGCAGCCCUCCUGCACACCCAGCUGAGUUCUCUCCAACUGCACAGGGGGCGUGAGACCCAUGGGGACCUACUAAAAGAGAUUUUCCCAUGCUCUUCUCCACACAGUUUUAUCCUCCUUAAAGAGGGGGAAAACAACAGUUCUCUUAUUUCACUAUAUCCUGCCACUGGUUGGCCUUAAAACACACAGAAAAAGAGACAAAAAGAGAGACGAUAGAAGGCACAGAAGAUCUUGAAAAGUCACAGAGCAGUAGUGAAUGAAAUACUACUGACAGGUAACAAAACACUUCAAUGAUCUUGAUUUUUCUUCUUCAGAAUCCAACAUCAGAUCUCAUCAAACAAUUAUUUACUUUUUUAGUCCUGAUGUUGACCUCUGUUGCUACCGGAAGCAAGCUUUCUCUAUGAAUUUUGGUGCCAACUGCUGAUCUGGACUGUAAUGAUUAGUUUUGCAUUAAGGAUACCAUCUAUUCAAUUUUUUCUCUCCUUUUCACAUGGCUUCCACUCACUUCAAAAACUAGAAACCCUCUUACUUGGAAUAUGGCUUCAGAAUGAGGGGCUGAACUGGCAUGGGUGAACCUGGUUAAGGGGAACAUGUACUCCAUAGGACAAUAAAAAGGUAAACUGAGAUUUAACAGCACAAGUACAAGCAUUCGGCUGUCAAAAGACAAACAAACAUACAAAAAUUUUUACACAGCAGGAUGUCCAAGGAACUUUUAAUCAGAGGUCAGCCUGAGUAAUCACUUUCUCACAAAAGCCAGUUGCCUAAGAGGAAGAUGCAAGAGAGUCUCACACAGAUAGGAAUCACCAGCUUACAGAAGCUGCCCAAGAUCUGCAGUGUUUGCUGAAAGUUGUAUAUAUCUGUACAUUGACAGUUCAUUUAAUCUUAAUCCUUGCUAAUCUGACUCCAGAUGGUGGCACAUCAUAUGCAAAAACAUCAGUUUGUCCAUUUAAGGUAUAAAAACAAUCUUCCUUAUGGAUAAUGUCUAAAUAUUCAAAACUUAAGUAGCUUUUCCUGCCCUAUCUUUGAACUAGGUAUAGAUCACCAGGAUCCACCCCUCCUCCUGACCUGAACUCCUUUGCAGCCCACCCUGUCUCUCAGGAGAGGCAAAGUCCUCCGCACAGGUGUGCAGGAAUUUA